CUACGGGUCGCUCCAGUGGGGAAUAUUGGACAAUGGGGGAAACCCUGAUCCAGCAAUGCCGCGUGUGUGAAGAAGGCCUGUGGGUUGUAAAGCACUUUCGGUUGGGAGGACUGCUUCUAGCACUAAUAUUGUUGGAAGUUGACGUUACCUUCAGAAGAAGCACCGGCUAACUCCGUGCCAGCAGCCGCGGUAAUACGGAGGGUGCAAGCGUUAAUCGGAAUUACUGGGCGUAAAGCGCGCGUAGGCGGCUAGAUCAGUCGGGUGUGAAAGCCCCGGGCUUAACCUGGGAACUGCAUCCGAUACUGUCUAGCUUGAGUACAGGAGAGGAGAGUGGAAUUCCACAUGUAGCGGUGAAAUGCGUAGAUAUGUGGAGGAACACCAAUGGCGAAGGCAGCUCACUGGCUCGAUACUGACGCUGAGGUGCGAAAGUGUGGGGAGCAAACAGGAUUAGAUACCCCGGUAGUC
This 465-nucleotide ribosomal RNA is filed under the name uncultured bacterium. RNAcentral's name for it is "partial 16S ribosomal RNA". It matches the Rfam family "Bacterial small subunit ribosomal RNA", at positions 339 to 795 of the family's 1533-position model. The record is from RNAcentral.